This 492-nucleotide ribosomal RNA is filed under the name uncultured bacterium. RNAcentral describes it as "partial 16S ribosomal RNA". It matches the Rfam family "Bacterial small subunit ribosomal RNA", at positions 29 to 507 of the family's 1533-position model. The record is from RNAcentral.
AGUGAACGCUGGCGGUAGGCCUAACACAUGCAAGUCGAACGGCAGCACAGUAAGUGCUUGCUCUUACGGGUGGCGAGUGGCGGACGGGUGACGAAUACAUCCGAAUCUACUUUUUCGUGGGGGAUAACGUAGGGAAACUUACCCUAAUACCUCAUACCACCCUCGGGUGAAAGUAUUGGAUCUUCGGACCUUUCGCGAUUGAAUGAGCCGAUGUCGGAUUAGAUAGUUGGCGGGGUAAUGGCCCACCAAGGCGACGAUCCGUAGCUGGUCUGAGAGGAUGAUCAGCCGCACUGGAGCGAGGACAGGGACCAAACUACUAGGGGAGGCAGCAGUGGGAAAUAUUGGACAGUAGGCGGGAGCAUGAUCCAGACAAACCGCGUAGGUGAAAAAAGCCAUCGGGUUGUGAAGCCCUUUUGUUGGGAGAGAAAAGCAGUCGGUUAAUACCGAGCUGUUCUGACGGUAACCAAAGAAUAAGCACCGGCUAACUUCGUG